GCCUCUUUAGCUCAGUUGGCAGAGCAGCUCAUUCGUAAUGAGCAGGUCGCGGGUUCAAGUCCCGUGAGAGGCU
This 73-nucleotide transfer RNA is filed under the name Bacteroidales bacterium. Its description in RNAcentral is "tRNA-Thr". It matches the Rfam family "tRNA". From Rfam's summary of the family: Transfer RNA (tRNA) molecules are approximately 80 nucleotides in length. Their secondary structure includes four short double-helical elements and three loops (D, anti-codon, and T loops). Lineage: Bacteria; Pseudomonadati; Bacteroidota; Bacteroidia; Bacteroidales. The record is from RNAcentral.